GAUGAACGCUGGCGGCGUGCCUAAUACAUGCAAGUCGAGCGAACAGAUAAGGAGCUUGCUCCUUUGACGUUAGCGGCGGACGGGUGAGUUACACGUGGAUAACCUACCUAUAAGACUGGGAUAACUUCGGGAAACCGGAGCUAAUACCGGAUAACAUAUUGAACCGCAUGGUUCAAUAGUGAAAGGCGGCUUUGCUGUCACUUAUAGAUGGAUCCGCGCCGUAUUAGCUAGUUGGUGAGGUAACGGCUUACCAAGGCAACGAUACGUAGCCGACCUGAGAGGGUGAUCGGCCACACUGGAACUGAGACACGGUCCAGACUCCUACGGGAGGCAGCAGUAGGGAAUCUUCCGCAAUGGGCGAAAGCCUGACGGAGCAACGCCGCGUGAGUGAUGAAGGUCUUCGGAUCGUAAAACUCUGUUAUCAGGGAAGAACAAAUGUGUAAGUAACUGUGCACAUCUUGACGGUACCUGAUCAGAAAGCCACGGCUAACUACGUG
This 497-nucleotide ribosomal RNA is filed under the name uncultured bacterium. Its description in RNAcentral is "partial 16S ribosomal RNA". It matches the Rfam family "Bacterial small subunit ribosomal RNA", at positions 28 to 507 of the family's 1533-position model. The record is from RNAcentral.